UACGGGGGGGGCAAGCGUUGUUCGGAAUUACUGGGCGUAAAGGGCGCGUAGGCGGCCUGCUAAGUCGGACGUGAAAUCCCUCGGUUCAACCGGGGAAUUGCGUCCGAUACUGGUGGGCUCGAAUCCGGGAGAGGGAUGUGGAAUUCCAGGUGUAGCGGUGAAAUGCGUAGAUAUCUGGAGGAACACCGGUGGCGAAGGCGGCAUCCUGGACCGGUAUUGACGCUGAGGCGCGAAAGCCAGGGGAGCAAACGGG
Molecule: ribosomal RNA, 253 nt
Filed under: uncultured bacterium
Lineage: Bacteria
Description: partial 16S ribosomal RNA
Rfam family: Bacterial small subunit ribosomal RNA
Source: RNAcentral